This 392-nucleotide long non-coding RNA is filed under the name Gallus gallus (chicken). The record is from RNAcentral. Lineage: Eukaryota; Metazoa; Chordata; Aves; Galliformes; Phasianidae.
AUGGGGCCCAUCCACGGGGUCCAUCCGUGGGGCCCAUCGGUGGGGCGCACCUCGUUUGAUCCAGACGUGGUGUCGGAAGCGCGGCGGCAUGCUGGCCAGGAAGCGCGACCCGUCGGCCGUCUCCACCUCGUGCAGAUUAUUCCCGGGGCUGCCCAGCACCCUGACGAUGCGCUGCUGCGGGGCGGGCACCACGUGCUCCUCCAGCACCUCCCGGGUCACGUGUUUCCGCUUGGUGGCGCGCGACAUGGCGGGACGGGAACGGCCCCGAGCCGGUGCGGCGCCGCUCCCUCCGCAACGAGCUCCUUCCGCUUCCGGCUGCGUGGCGUCACUUCCGCCGCAGGGCGGGAGGAGGAGGGGCUACGCCCGGAUUGGCUGCGCGUGCCCUGCGUGCC